Molecule: ribosomal RNA, 855 nt
Filed under: uncultured bacterium
Lineage: Bacteria
Description: bacterial SSU rRNA
Rfam family: Bacterial small subunit ribosomal RNA
Source: RNAcentral
UUAGAGUUUGAUCCUGGCUCAGGACGAACGCUGGCGGCGUGCCUAACACAUGCAAGUCGAGCGAAUGAAAUUCCUUCGGGAACGGAUUUAGCGGCGGACGGGUGAGUAACACGUGGGCAACCUGCCUCAUAGAGGGGAAUAGCCUUCCGAAAGGGAGAUUAAUACCGCAUAAGAUUGUAGUACCGCAUGGUACAGCAAUUAAAGGAGCAAUCCGCUAUGAGAUGGGCCCGCGGCGCAUUAGCUAGUUGGUGAGGUAACGGCUCACCAAGGCGACGAUGCGUAGCCGACCUGAGAGGGUGAUCGGCCACAUUGGGACUGAGACACGGCCCAGACUCCUACGGGAGGCAGCAGUGGGGAAUAUUGCACAAUGGGGGAAACCCUGAUGCAGCAACGCCGCGUGAGUGAUGACGGCCUUCGGGUUGUAAAGCUCUGUCUUCAGGGACGAUAAUGACGGUACCUGAGGAGGAAGCCACGGCUAACUACGUGCCAGCAGCCGCGGUAAUACGUAGGUGGCGAGCGUUGUCCGGAUUUACUGGGCGUAAAGGGAGCGUAGGCGGAUUUUUAAGUGAGAUGUGAAAUACUCGGGCUUAACCUGAGUGCUGCAUUUCAAACUGGAAGUCUAGAGUGCAGGAGAGGAGAAGGGAAUUCCUAGUGUAGCGGUGAAAUGCGUAGAGAUUAGGAAGAACACCAGUGGCGAAGGCGCUUCUCUGGACUGUAACUGACGCUGAGGCUCAAAAGCGUGGGGAGCAAAACAGGAUUAGAUACCCUGGUAGUCCACGCCCGAAACGAUGAAUAACUAGGGGGAAGGGGUUUGUCCUGAACCUCCGGGGCCCCCCCCCCAAACGCAAUUAAAAU